Salvelinus namaycush (lake trout) is the source of this 825-nucleotide RNA transcript. It is a transcript of the gene named mitochondrial glutamate carrier 1-like, with no coding region annotated. The record is from RefSeq and is a predicted model, not a curated record. The transcript is spliced from 10 exons. NCBI's taxonomy places the organism in Eukaryota, Metazoa, Chordata, Actinopteri, Salmoniformes, Salmonidae.
CUUCUGAAAGCAUGGCUCAAUGAAUGAACACUCUUCAUUUCAGGUAGCCAGCCAACACAACAUUGAGGUAAAUGCUACUAUGCCCAGGGAUAAGCCAAAUCACGUUUACAGAUAUACAGACAGAUGGCUGACAAGCAGAUCAGUUUACCUGCCAAAUUGAUCAAUGGGGGAAUUGCUGGACUGAUUGGUGUGACAUGUGUAUUUCCUAUUGACCUAGCCAAGACCCGUCUCCAGAACCAGCAAAAUGGUUCCCGUCUCUACACCAGCAUGUAUGCACAAAGCUGGUCAGAUUGCCUUAUCAAGACCAUCCAAUCAGAGGGGUACUUUGGCAUGUACAGAGGUGCUGCUGUGAACCUGACUCUGGUCACUCCAGAGAAGGCCAUCAAACUAGCUGCCAAUGACUUCUUUAGACAGCACCUGUCCAAGGAUGGUCAGAAGCUCACCCUGCUGAGGGAGAUGCUGGCGGGUUGUGGUGCUGGUACAUGUCAGGUCAUCAUCACCACUCCCAUGGAGAUGCUAAAGAUCCAGUUACAGGAUGCAGGGCGGAUAGAGGCUCAGAGGAAGCUGAUGUCCCAGGCUGCAGUUGGGGCCCCUGGGGGCCCAGUGGAGUUGAGGUCCCAUACAGCAAUGCAGCUCACCCGGGAGACGUGAUUAAGACCAGAAUUCAGACCAUGACAUGGGGAAGUCGGGGACGGCGGAGUGACAGACUGCAUCAGCUUGGGAGGACGAAGUUAGGGAAUUCCAGCUUUUGGAAAAACAGAACUCCUCCCUGGUCUGAGUGGAAUAUAAGAACAAGCUGCAGACCACAAACCAACACGAAACACA